UUGAGUGGCGAACGGGUGAGUAACACGUGGGCAACCUGCCCAAAAGAGGGGGAUAACACUUGGAAACAGGUGCUAAUACCGCAUAACCAUAGUUACCGCAUGGUAACUAUGUAAAAGGUGGCUAUGCUACCGCUUUUGGAUGGGCCCGCGGCGCAUUAGCUAGUUGGUGGGGUAAAGGCUUACCAAGGCAAUGAUGCGUAGCCGAACUGAGAGGUUGAUCGGCCACAUUGGGACUGAGACACGGCCCAAACUCCUACGGGAGGCAGCAGUAGGGAAUCUUCCACAAUGGGCGAAAGCCUGAUGGAGCAACGCCGCGUGGGUGAAGAAGGUCUUCGGAUCGUAAAACCCUGUUGUUAGAGAAGAAAGUGCGUGAGAGUAACUGUUCACGUUUCGACGGUAUCUAACCAGAAAGCCACGGCUAACUACGUGCCAGCAGCCGCGGUAAUACGUAGGUGGCAAGCGUUAUCCGGAUUUAUUGGGCGUAAAGGGAACGCAGGCGGUCUUUUAAGUCUGAUGUGAAAGCCUUCGGCUUAACCGGAGUAGUGCAUUGGAAACUGGGAGACUUGAGUGCAGAAGAGGAGAGUGGAACUCCAUGUGUAGCGGUGAAAUGCGUAGAUAUAUGGAAGAACACCAGUGGCGAAAGCGGCUCUCUGGUCUGUAACUGACGCUGAGGUUCGAAAGCGUGGGUAGCAAACAGGAUUAGAUACCCUGGUAGUCCACGCCGUAAACGAUGAAUGCUAAGUGUUGGAGGGUUUCCGCCCUUCAGUGCUGCAGCUAACGCAAUAAGCAUUCCGCCUGGGGAGUACGACCGCAAGGUUGAAACUCAAAGGAAUUGACGGGGGCCCGCACAAGCGGUGG
RNAcentral lists this ribosomal RNA (858 nucleotides) under uncultured bacterium. RNAcentral's name for it is "bacterial SSU rRNA". It matches the Rfam family "Bacterial small subunit ribosomal RNA", at positions 91 to 935 of the family's 1533-position model. The record is from RNAcentral.